UACGUAGGUGGCGAGCGUUGUCCGGAUUUACUGGCGUAAAGAGCGCGCAGGCGGUCGUCCAAGUCGCGUGUGAAAGCCCCCGGCUCAACUGGGGAGGGUCACGCGAUACUGAUCGACUCGAAGGCAGGAGAGGGAAGCGGAAUUCCCGGUGUAGUGGUGAAAUGCGUAGAUAUCGGGAGGAACACCAGUGGCGAAGGCGGCAUUCUGGACUGCAACUGACACUGAUGAACGAAAGCCAGGGGAGCAAACGGG
RNAcentral lists this ribosomal RNA (252 nucleotides) under uncultured bacterium. RNAcentral describes it as "partial 16S ribosomal RNA". It matches the Rfam family "Bacterial small subunit ribosomal RNA", at positions 524 to 776 of the family's 1533-position model. The record is from RNAcentral.